Molecule: long non-coding RNA, 1699 nt
Organism: Ursus maritimus (polar bear)
Lineage: Eukaryota; Metazoa; Chordata; Mammalia; Carnivora; Ursidae
Source: Ensembl
CUCUCCUGCUGGCCUUGAAGAAGCCAGCUACGUGUUGCGACUGCCUAUGGAGGGCUCGUGGCAAGGAACUGCUGUGGCCUUUAGCAAUGGAUAGCAGCCUCCAGCUGGUCGCCCGCGAGCAGUGUGAAGCUCUCAGCCUUAUACCCACAAGGAAAUAAAUUCUUCUAAUAACCUGAGGGAACUUAGAAACAGAUUCUCCCCCUGACAAGCCUCCAGAUGAGAACACAGAUUGCCUGUCACCUUGACUGCGGCCUGUGACCCUGAGCACGGACCCAGUUAGACCCUAAUGCCCAGAAACUGGGAGAUAAUAAAUGCGUGUUGUUUAAAGCUGCUAAAUUCGCAGUCAUUUGUCAUGCAGUAGUCGAUGACUAGUACAAGGGAUUUGUGGAGUAAAUGAAUACAGAACGCCAUGUCCCAGGGGUGGCAUGGAGCCACUAAAGAAGACAAGCCUCGCAAGCCCUUGUGGAAGCACCAUUUGCAUUAAGGAAGAGGCAACUGCCUGGACUUCUUAGCCCAUCUUUUAAAGAUAUAACAGAAGUGCUUCAAGGACAACCCGGGGAAAGCACUGGGUUUGUCACUUCGUGGAUGGGCAGUCCUAUGGAAAGGAUCAUUCCAGCAAAGACUGCGGUCCCAGCUCUCUGGCUGUCAGAGUCUCACAACCAAGCCAGUGGUGGACCCAUCAUGGAACUCAUGAGUUAUCCUGGCUGCAGAGCACAGAGCAAAAGGGUCCACUUAAGAGGCAGUAUCUCAGGAGAAGAUAAAUCAAGUGACAAGCUGAACACAUUGUUCUUGUUGAGGGGCCAAGCAGAGGCAUAUUCCAAGUGUGAGCCAACAAGACGGGAACCAUGCAAACCAGAAAGAGAGACAUUUCAAAGCAGAGACUUGGAGAUAGAGCCUAAGAAAGUCCUCCCAUGAAGAGAAUGUGUCUAGCAAUUGAUUACCAUGAAUGUGCUAAUCAGAGAAGAUCACUCCUGCUGCACACCUAAGAGGUUAUCCCUCUGGGGAAUGUAAGCCCUAACCAGGAGGGAAAGUAAUUGGCCUGCUAUGGACUGUAUGCUUGUGUCCCUAUGCCCCCAAAUUCAUAUCUUGAAGUCCUAACCCUCAGUAUGAAGAUAUUUGGAGGUGAGGUCUUUGGGAAGCAAGUUUAAAUGAGGUCAUGAGUGUGGGGCCCUAAUUUGACAGAGCCGGCACCCAAAUAAGCAGAGGAAAAGACCAGAGCCCUUUUUUUCUGCACCAUGUGAGUGUCCAAGCAGAAGGCAGCAGUCUGCAAUCCAGGAAGAGCAGCAGGCCCCAAACUGGGUGGAACUUUGAUAUUGGACUUCCCAGCCUCCGGAAUUGUGAGAAAUAGAUUGCUGUUGCUUAAGCCACCCAGUCUAUGGUAUUCGACUAAGGCAAUGCCCAAAGGUCCUGACACCUGAUACCCUUUACUGUGUCCCAUGGAGAUUCCAAGUGCUUUAUAGAAUCAGCUCAUUUCAUCCUCAUCAUUUUAACCUCACAAACCAAUGAGGUAAGUGGUUUUCAUCACACUACGCAGAUGACGACACCAGGUAUAAAGAGGUCAGGAGACGUGUGGCUGGUGCGUGCAGUGCCUGGAUCUCACUCCCGCGGUCUGACACCACAGCCUGGACAGGGAACCACGGGACCUCAGUGCCUCGUGGGAUUUUAAUGGUAGGAGUGUUAGUCAAGGAUAGGACACUUC